GUGUUGUGGUUAAUAACCGCAGCAAUUGACGUUACCCGCAGAAGAAGCACCGGCUAACUCCGUGCCAGCAGCCGCGGUAAUACGGAGGGUGCAAGCGUUAAUCGGAAUUACUGGGCGUAAAGCGCACGCAGGCGGUCUGUCAAGUCGGAUGUGAAAUCCCCGGGCUCAACCUGGGAACUGCAUUCGAAACUGGCAGGCUAGAGUCUUGUAGAGGGGGGUAGAAUUCCAGGUGUAGCGGUGAAAUGCGUAGAGAUCUGGAGGAAUACCGGUGGCGAAGGCGGCCCCCUGGACAAAGACUGACGCUCAGGUGCGAAGCGUGGGGAGCAACAGGAUUAGAUACCCUGGUAGUCCACGCCUAAACGAUGUCGAUUUGGAGGUUGUGCCCUUGAGGCGUGCCYUCCGAGCUAACGCGUUAAAUCACCGCCUGGGAGUACGCCGCAGGUAAACUCAAUGAAUUACAGGGGCCCGCCAGCGUGGGAGCAUGUGGUAAUUCAUGCACCGAAAACCUACCUGGUCUUGACAUCCACACUUUCAAGAUGUUGUGCCCUUCGGAACUGGAGACGUGC
Molecule: ribosomal RNA, 566 nt
Filed under: Enterobacter cloacae
Lineage: Bacteria; Pseudomonadati; Pseudomonadota; Gammaproteobacteria; Enterobacterales; Enterobacteriaceae
Description: bacterial SSU rRNA
Rfam family: Bacterial small subunit ribosomal RNA
Source: RNAcentral